UCCUACAACUUUCGUUCACAAUGUUUUCUCAGAUUAUGUUCGAACUGUUCUCAAAAUUACAAAACUUAAUCAGAUCCUGCUUAUUCUUUGAGUUCUGAAUCAGCGGACGUUUUAUUUAAUUCCCAAUUCGUUAUAACUCCGAUUUCGAUGAGCCUUACCUUUUCAGAAAGGUCUUUUCGUUCUCUACGACUUUCGUGUUUUGAGUUUUUCCAGAAAACAUUGUUUAGAGGGUCAAAACAGUAUAUUAUUGGUCUGGGCAGAUUGCAAUCAUGGAGAUAAUUGGAGUUUAAGUUAAAGUCGGGGUUCGGGAGUUUAGUUGGUCCCUUGCGAGGUUCGUUAGUCUUUGAGUUUGCUAUUUUCGAGGUACGGAUU
Molecule: long non-coding RNA, 372 nt
Filed under: Daucus carota (carrot)
Lineage: Eukaryota; Viridiplantae; Streptophyta; Magnoliopsida; Apiales; Apiaceae
Description: long non-coding RNA (DCAR_LNC004520)
Source: RNAcentral